UCCGUAGGUGAACCAGCGGAGGGAUCAUUACCGAGUUUACAACUCCCAAACCCCUGUGAACAUACCUAUACGUUGCCUCGGCGGAUCAGCCCGCGCCCCGUAAAACGGGACGGCCCGCCCGAGGACCCCUAAACUCUGUUUUUAGUGGAACUUCUGAGUAAAACAAACAAAUAAAUCAAAACUUUCAACAACGGAUCUCUUGGUUCUGGCAUCGAUGAAGAACGCAGCAAAAUGCGAUAAGUAAUGUGAAUUGCAGAAUUCAGUGAAUCAUCGAAUCUUUGAACGCACAUUGCGCCCGCCAGUAUUCUGGCGGGCAUGCCUGUUCGAGCGUCAUUUCAACCCUCAAGCUCAGCUUGGUGUUGGGACUCGCGGUAACCCGCGUUCCCCAAAUCGAUUGGCGGUCACGUCGAGCUUCCAUAGCGUAGUAAUCAUACACCUCGUUACUGGUAAUCGUCGCGGCCACGCCGUUAAACCCCAACUUCUGAAUGUUGACCUCGGAUCAGGUAGGAAUACCCGCUGAACUUAAGCAUAUCAAUAAGCGGAGGAAAAGAAACCAACAGGGAUUGCCCUAGUAACU
Molecule: ribosomal RNA, 577 nt
Filed under: Fusarium sp. BAB-3343
Lineage: Eukaryota; Fungi; Ascomycota; Sordariomycetes; Hypocreales; Nectriaceae
Description: eukaryotic LSU rRNA
Rfam family: 5.8S ribosomal RNA (bases 180-333)
Source: RNAcentral